Cinara cedri is the source of this 332-nucleotide non-coding RNA. Lineage: Eukaryota; Metazoa; Arthropoda; Insecta; Hemiptera; Aphididae. The record is from the annotation of a GenBank genome assembly.
GUUCAGUAUGUAAUUUUCAUCCUCCUAGAGGAUUUUUUAACAAAACCAUUCAAUAUUUCUUUUUCGGUGUUUUCAUAUAAUAAUUCGUCUUUAUUUAUUGUUGCUAAUACCAAACCAUUUAACCUUUCUUCAUUCAUUAUAGCUCGUAAGUAUGUGUACAGUUUUCUUUAGAACAGAAAAUGUAUAUUCCGGGGUUACAGGCAGAGUAAAAAAUAAAUGAAGAAUCCUUUUUCUAUUUGAAAGAUCUGUGCAGUGAUGAAUUUCUUCUACAGCAGUCUCUGGGAAAUUUUCUUUCAAUUGCCAUUGCUUUAUCCAUAUUAUGAAUAACUCCG